AUACGUAGGUGACAAGCGUUAUCCGGAUUUACUGGGCGUAAAGGGCGUGUAGGCGGUCUUGCAAGUCAGAAGUGAAAUUCCUGAGCUCAACUCGGGCGCUGCUUCUGAAACUGCAGGACUUGAGUGCUGGAGGGGAUAGCGGAAUUCCUAGUGGAGCGGUAAAAUGCGCAGAUAUUAGGAAGAACACCGGUGGCGAAGGCGGCUAUCUGGACAGUAACGGACGCUGAGGCGCGAAAGCGUGGGGAGCAAACAGGAUUAGUUACCCGGGUAGUCCACGCCGUAAACGAUGAAUACUAGGUGUAGGGGGUAUCGACUCCCUCUGUGCCGCAGUUAACACAAUAAGUAUUCCGCCUGGGGAGUACGGCCGCAAGGUUGAAACUCAAAUGAAUUGACGGGG
RNAcentral lists this ribosomal RNA (397 nucleotides) under uncultured bacterium. Its description in RNAcentral is "partial 16S ribosomal RNA". It matches the Rfam family "Bacterial small subunit ribosomal RNA", at positions 523 to 918 of the family's 1533-position model. The record is from RNAcentral.